GAUGAACGCUGGCGGCGUGCCUAAUACAUGCAAGUCGAGCGAACAGACGAGGAGCUUGCUCCUUUGACGUUAGCGGCGGACGGGUGAGUAACACGUGGGUAACCUACCUAUAAGACUGGGAUAACUUCGGGAAACCGGAGCUAAUACCGGAUAAUAUUUCGAACCGCAUGGUUCGAUAGUGAAAGAUGGCUUUGCUAUCACUUAUAGAUGGACCUGCGCCGUAUUAGCUAGUUGGUAAGGUAACGGCUUACCAAGGCAACGAUACGUAGCCGACCUGAGAGGGUGAUCGGCCACACUGGAACUGAGACACGGUCCAGACUCCUACGGGAGGCAGCAGUAGGGAAUCUUCCGCAAAGGGCGGAAGCCUGACGGAGCAACGCCGCGUGAGUGAUGAAGGUCUUCGGAUCGUAAAACUCUGUUAUUAGGGAAGAACAAACGUGUAAGUAACUGUGCACGUCUUGACGGUACCUAAUCAGAAAGCCACGGCUAACUACGUG
This 497-nucleotide ribosomal RNA is filed under the name uncultured bacterium. Its description in RNAcentral is "partial 16S ribosomal RNA". It matches the Rfam family "Bacterial small subunit ribosomal RNA", at positions 28 to 507 of the family's 1533-position model. The record is from RNAcentral.